ACACAUGCAAGUCGAGGGGCAGCGGAGAGGUAGCAAUACCUUUGCCGGCGACCGGCGCACGGGUGAGUAACACGUAUGCAAUCCACCUGUAACAGGGGGAUAACCCGGAGAAGUCCGGACUAAUACCCCAUAAUAUGGGCGCUCCGCAUGGAGAGCCCAUUAAAGAGAGCAAUUUUGGUUACAGACGAGCAUGCGCUCCAUUAGCCAGUUGGCGGGGUAACGGCCCACCAAGGCGACGAUGGAUAGGGGUUCUGAGAGGAAGGUCCCCCACAUUGGAACUGAGACACGGUCCAAACUCCUACGGGAGGCAGCAGUGAGGAAUAUUGGUCAAUGGUCGGCAGACUGAACCAGCCAAGUCGCGUGAGGGAAGACGGCCCUACGGGUUGUAAACCUCUUUUGUCGGAGAGUAAAGUACGCUACGCGUAGCGUAUUGCAAGUAUCCGAAGAAAGAGCAUCGGCUAACUCCGUGCCAGCAGCCGCGGUAAUACGGAGGAUGCGAGCGUUAUCCGGAUUUAUUGGGUUUAAAGGGUGCGUAGGCGGCACGCCAAGCCAGCGGUGAAAUUUCCGGGCUCAACCCGGAGUGUGCCGUUGAAACUGGCGAGCUAGAGUGCACAAGAGGCAGGCGGAAUGCGUGGUGUAGCGGUGAAAUGCAUAGAUAUCACGCAGAACCCCGAUUGCGAAGGCAGCCUGCUAGGGUGCGACAGACGCUGAGGCACGAAAGCGUGGGUAUCGAACAGGAUUAGAUACCCUGGUAGUCCACGCAGUAAACGAUGAAUACUAACUGUUUGCGAUACAAUGUAAGCGGUACAGCGAAAGCGUUAAGUAUUCCACCUGGGG
RNAcentral lists this ribosomal RNA (837 nucleotides) under uncultured bacterium. RNAcentral describes it as "bacterial SSU rRNA". It matches the Rfam family "Bacterial small subunit ribosomal RNA", at positions 51 to 878 of the family's 1533-position model. The record is from RNAcentral.